This 77-nucleotide transfer RNA is filed under the name Eggerthellaceae bacterium. RNAcentral's name for it is "tRNA-Ile". It matches the Rfam family "tRNA". From Rfam's summary of the family: Transfer RNA (tRNA) molecules are approximately 80 nucleotides in length. Their secondary structure includes four short double-helical elements and three loops (D, anti-codon, and T loops). RNAcentral also lists the same sequence under 1 other name. Lineage: Bacteria; Bacillati; Actinomycetota; Coriobacteriia; Eggerthellales; Eggerthellaceae. The record is from RNAcentral.
GGGCCCGUAGCUCAGUUGGUUAGAGCGCACGCCUGAUAAGCGUGAGGUCGUUGGUUCAAGUCCAUUCGGGCCCACCA